Molecule: transfer RNA, 72 nt
Filed under: Fukomys damarensis (Damara mole-rat)
Lineage: Eukaryota; Metazoa; Chordata; Mammalia; Rodentia; Bathyergidae
Rfam family: tRNA
About the family: Transfer RNA (tRNA) molecules are approximately 80 nucleotides in length. Their secondary structure includes four short double-helical elements and three loops (D, anti-codon, and T loops). Further hydrogen bonds mediate the characteristic L-shaped molecular structure. tRNAs have two regions of fundamental functional importance: the anti-codon, which is responsible for specific mRNA codon recognition, and the 3' end, to which the tRNAs corresponding amino acid is attached (by aminoacyl-tRNA synthetases). tRNAs cope with the degeneracy of the genetic code in two manners: having more than one tRNA (with a specific anti-codon) for a particular amino acid; and 'wobble' base-pairing, i.e. permitting non-standard base-pairing at the 3rd anti-codon position.
Source: Rfam by way of RNAcentral
CAGGGUGUGUCUCAGUGGUAGAGUGCUUGCCUAACAGGUAUGAGGCCCUGGGUUCAAUUCUCAGCUCCAUUC